Molecule: ribosomal RNA, 253 nt
Filed under: uncultured bacterium
Lineage: Bacteria
Description: partial 16S ribosomal RNA
Rfam family: Bacterial small subunit ribosomal RNA
Source: RNAcentral
UACAGAGGUGGCAAGCGUUGUUCGGAAUUACUGGGCGUAAAGGGCGCGUAGGCGGCCUUCUAAGUCGGACGUGAAAGCCCCAGGCUUAACCUGGGAACUGCGUCCGAUACUGGGAGGCUUGGAUUCGGGAGAGGGAUGUGGAAUUCCAGGUGUAGCGGUGAAAUGCGUAGAGAUCGGCAGGAACACCCAGGGGGAAACCAGUCGACUGGGCAUCUACUGACGCUGAGGUGCGAGAGCGUGGGGAGCGAACCGG